AGAUAGCGCUUCUACACAUGCCGCUUCUGGAUUGAGGAGGAGGAAUUGUCAUGAGCCUGGCUUCAGUCGACGACCACCAGCGACUAUGAAACUGUAGAAGAUGUGUUGAAGGACAGAAAUGAUGGCAAUUCUGAGGGCAAAGAUGUGGUCGAAUGGAGGAUAGAACAGAUGGGAAAUGGGUCUGUUGAAGCUGUGACGCAAACAAAUCGCAGAUUGGAGGAACCAGAUCACUGAUUGAUGGGACCAAAGAGACGAACGAUGGAACCAGAUGGCAUCAAUAGGAGGGGAGAGAUAACAAUCAUGCAAGUAAGAGAAGGUGACCCAAGGAAAAAAUCUUGGGCGGAAAUGGUGAGCAAUCGAUCUAAGAAAUCAUACUACGAAAUGAGUUGGUAAUGAGGACGGGAGCCUUUUGUCACCAUUCGAGAGGAAACCAACCGUGAAGCGUUCAAAAGUAGUACUUGGUGUCUAUAAAACUUUUAAUUUUUUACAAAAAUAUUCUGUUGAGAUGAUCGUUUACUCAUUGUACAAUGUGUUGCUCACUACUCAUGUAUAUGUAUGCCUUUGUCUUGUCAUGCGGAAGAAAUCACCCGGUCCUAAUUGAUUGCAAGUGUAACAGGACGAUUAAAAUUAACUUAAAUAAUUUUUAAAGUUAUUUAAGAAAUUUUAAGUUAAUCUCUUUAUGUAGGAAUGUUACAACUCCAAUUUCUUUUACUCAAAUUUGUGAUGUCUUUAUUAUAAUUCUAUUAUAUUGAAUUGGAUAUAAUUAUUAAAAUAGAACUCGUCAAAUAUUGCAAUUCACUAGUGUUUAA
Manihot esculenta (cassava) is the source of this 809-nucleotide long non-coding RNA. RefSeq lists it as uncharacterized. The transcript is spliced from 2 exons. The record is from RefSeq and is a predicted model, not a curated record. NCBI's taxonomy places the organism in Eukaryota, Viridiplantae, Streptophyta, Magnoliopsida, Malpighiales, Euphorbiaceae.